GCGGGCGCUGGGGCUCAGCCCGCCGGCCACGAUCCGCGACGCCCUCCUGGAGCACCGCGAUGACCCCGCGGUCACAUACAGCCUGUGGCACGAGUACGGUCUGUGAGCGGACGGCAAGACGGCGGCUCUGGUACGGCGCCGCAGUCCUGGCACGCAGCGCCGCAGCCCGGGUGGCCGCUGUUGGGUGAAUAAAGUGGUGAGUGCGUUAA
Molecule: non-coding RNA, 209 nt
Organism: Meleagris gallopavo (turkey)
Lineage: Eukaryota; Metazoa; Chordata; Aves; Galliformes; Phasianidae
Source: RefSeq, a predicted model, not a curated record